RNAcentral lists this unclassified non-coding RNA (398 nucleotides) under Hevea brasiliensis (rubber tree). The record is from RNAcentral. Lineage: Eukaryota; Viridiplantae; Streptophyta; Magnoliopsida; Malpighiales; Euphorbiaceae.
GCUGCUGUACCCUGUUGUGGUGGGAUACUCGCUGAUGAUCAGGGACUUGGAAAAACUAUAUCAACAAUUGCACUUAUACUCAAAGAAAGAUCUCCAUCUUCAAGACUUUCUACAGCCAUCACCAGACAAACUAAAACGGAGACAUUGAAUUUAGAUGAUGAUGAUGUUUUAUCUGAGUUUGACAUGUCAAAGCAAGGUUCGCCUUCUUGUCAAGUUGAUGAAAAUUCUGGCUUGGGCUGUAAAACUUCUUUGCAUGCAAAAGGGAGGCCAGCUGCUGGUACCCUUGUCGUUUGUCCUACCAGUGUCCUCCGUCAGUGGUCUGAGGAGUUGCACAAUAAGGUAACAAACAAAGCAAAUCUCUCUGUUCUAGUAUAUCAUGGUAGUGGUAGAACAAAGGA